RNAcentral lists this ribosomal RNA (26 nucleotides) under Heterakis isolonche. RNAcentral describes it as "partial 28S ribosomal RNA". The record is from RNAcentral. Lineage: Eukaryota; Metazoa; Nematoda; Chromadorea; Rhabditida; Heterakidae.
UAACUAAGCGGAGGAAAAGAAACUAA